GGUUCCUGGGGAGAGUGGGCUGUUUGGAGGGAUCUACCCAGAGGCCACAAAGCAACACCAACGUGGAGACAUCUGAGUGAGUGGCUACAAGAAAUCGAAAAAGAAGGGGCAGAAACGGUCUGCACCACAGGUCAGCAAACUUUUUCUGUAAAGGAGCAGAUAGUCAAUAUUUUAGCCUCCAGAACCCUCAUAGCCUCUGUCAAACUACUCAGCUCUAAUGUGUAACUGGCCGUAGACCAUACAUACACACAUGGGCACGGCUGUGUGCGAAUAAAGCUUUAUUUACAAGAGCAGGGCAGAGGGCCGGAUCUGUCCUGAGGGCUGCGCUGUGCUGAUCCCGGGUGUACACUGCCCUGAAGUCACAGACAAAGAGACAAUGUCCAACCUCUGUUUUUCAGCUUUCCAUUGAAAAUUAGAGUAUAUAUCCUUGGAGGGACCUUGAGGCUUUACAAAUGGUUGCACUGAUGGGGUUUUAAACUUGAAGAAAUGCCUGAGACAAUUUCAGAGGCCACAUCGCCCAGUGUCUGUGUUCAGAACAGCACAGGAUGGAGAGAGGUGAGAAAGUGCAGACAGCAGAGGCUUAAAAUAAGCUUGUCAAGAGCGAGCGACCCUUUGUGUCUUCCAGCCAUCUCCAACUCAUUCUUGGGACGCUCAACUCACCUGCUCGCCCAGAGGAAGCUGGUUUGAAGAAUGAAAAAUAAACAGUGGGCAGGGGAAGGCUGCGUCCGUCUGGAGGGGGACAGGCCUGGAGGCUGGCACACAGGCUGGGGGCACCCGGAGAAAUCCUCGAUAUUUCGAUUGUGCCUUCAGCCUUUUAUAAAAAUGAGCUGCACAGAUGUUUCUCGGUGGAGGGGUCAGCUGAAAGGUUCUGAUCAGCUGUGUCUGCCGUACAGAGAUGCAGCGCUCAGCGGUGUCUCCAACCUUCCCUCAGGCAACAAACUAGGGCAGAAGCCAGCCGGCUUGCUCUGAAUACCUCAGUCCCGCCGAUCUCCGGAUCACCAGCUGGUUUUGAUUGUGGCUGGAUCUAAGGUAAGGAUUGAAUGUGUGUUUAAGGGUGGGGAUGGCAAACAUACUAGCACAGUGGUUCUAAAACUGCAGUGUGGGUCAGAGGCCCCUGGAGGGUUUGUUAAAUCACAGACGGCCCGCACCCCAGGGUCCCUGGUCAGUGGGGUGAGGGCUCUGAGCGUGUGCAUUUCUAAAAGCUACAGUGGGCUGGCGGGAGGGAUGCGACCACACUUUGAGGACACAGCGUAACGGAGCGGGGCAAAGGGGAGGGAAGGGGGAGACCA
This is a long non-coding RNA of Aethalodelphis obliquidens (Pacific white-sided dolphin), 1289 nucleotides long. RefSeq lists it as uncharacterized. Lineage: Eukaryota; Metazoa; Chordata; Mammalia; Artiodactyla; Delphinidae. The record is from RefSeq and is a predicted model, not a curated record. The transcript has 3 exons.